Non-coding RNA from Pelobates cultripes (western spadefoot toad), 921 nucleotides. The record is from the annotation of a GenBank genome assembly. Lineage: Eukaryota; Metazoa; Chordata; Amphibia; Anura; Pelobatidae.
GUGAAAGUCAGCACUGCAUGUAGCCCUUUAAGUCCACAAAGAACACUGCAACUGAGCGAUCAAGCUCAGUUACAGUCAUUCUUUUAAGUGAUAUGGUGCUUGGGAGACCCCCAAGGUCUCUACAGACACUGGAGGGAAACCCUCUAUGCCCCAAUGCCAUUCUUAUCAGUGCUGGGCUUUUUCAGUUGCCCAGCACAGAUCGCAUCGCAUUGGGCAUAAUAUCUCCAGUGUAAGAGAUAGGAGACUGCAAUACUGAAAAUAGCCAGUAGAUGGCAGCAACGUACCACUGUCUGUUUUAGUUUAAAAUCCCUUUACUAAUAUCAGUACUGAUAUUAGCAGUGGGAAACCUUUGGGAUUAAGAUUAAAUUAAGGAUUACAAUUAAGGUUUAUUAUUCGGUUUAGAAUAAAUAUUAGAUUUAUUAUCAUGUUUAUUAAUGGGUAUAUUAUUAAUUUUAUGUUUAAGAUUAGGUUUAUAAUUAAUUGUAGUAUUUGGAUGUUUCAGAUUGGUAUUCAGAUUAUGGUUCAGAUUAGAAUUAGGGUCAGCACGGGCAUCCCUUGCUAAAUAUAGCAAGGGAAUUCCUCUGCUGACACCAGCAGGGGGAAUCAUUUUAACACUAUUGCUAAAGUUAGAAUUGAGAUUAACGUGAUCAAUAGGGUUACACAUGGGAUUACGUUAUGGAUUAGGAUUGUGGUACCGGUUUUGGAUUAGAUUGAGGAUUAGAUUUGGGAUUAGGAUUUGGUUUAGAAUUAGGGCUUGGUUUAGCAUUAGGGAUUUAGAUUGGGAUUAAGAUCGCUACUUUCCAAAUAUAUACAUAUGGGGUAUAUUUGUACUCAGAAGAUGUUGGGACACAUGAGAUUUAAAAAAAUAAGCAUAAAAAUACUAUGUGUAUGUAAAAAUUUUAAAACAAAAAUGAAUACCAC